UACGAAGGGUGCAACCGUUGCUCGGAAUCAUUGGGCGUAAAGCGCACGUAGGCGGCCUGAUAAGUCGGCUGUGAAAUCCCUCGGCUCAACUGAGGACGUGCAUUCGAAACUGCCAGGCUCGAGUAUGGAAGAGGGUCGCGGAAUUCCCGGUGUAGAGGUGAAAUUCGUAGAUAUCGGGAGGAACACCAGUGGCGAAGGCGGCGACCUGGGCCAAUACUGACGCUGAGGUGCGAAAGCGUGGGGAGCAAACAGG
This 253-nucleotide ribosomal RNA is filed under the name uncultured bacterium. RNAcentral describes it as "partial 16S ribosomal RNA". It matches the Rfam family "Bacterial small subunit ribosomal RNA", at positions 524 to 776 of the family's 1533-position model. The record is from RNAcentral.